Molecule: unclassified non-coding RNA, 371 nt
Filed under: uncultured fungus
Lineage: Eukaryota; Fungi
Description: partial contains ITS1, 5.8S rRNA and ITS2
Rfam family: 5.8S ribosomal RNA (bases 1-52)
Source: RNAcentral
AACGCAAAUUGCACUGUUGGGUCCUCCCAGCAGUAUGUCUGUUUGAGUGUCAGCACUUUAUCAUAAUCAAUUUUGAAAAAAAUUGAACAUUGAUACUUUGUGUUUUUGCAACACAAUGUAUUUAAGUGCAUUGAUUCUUGAUUGAUUUAUUAUUAUUUUGUAAGGAAUAAUGGAUUUCAGUUGAAAAAACAUUUUUGCUUACAUGCAUUAAGCAAAAGCAAGAUUGGAUUUCAAUAAUUGGAUUUCAUAAAUACUAUUCUUUACACUUCAAAAAAUAAUGAUUUUCUUUCGCUUAAAAAGGAUCAACAAAAAAAGAUUUCCUUUUUUAACAUCUUGACCUCAAAUUAGGCAAGGCUACCCGCUGAAUUUAA